AUUCUGGUUGAUCCUGGCGGAGGUUACUGCUAUUGGAAUCCGAUUAAGCCAUGCGAGUCGAUCGGGUCAGACCCGAGGCGCACUGCUCAGUAACACGUGGAGAAUCUGCCCUUAGGUGAGGAAUAACCUCGGGAAACUGAGAAUAAUACCUCAUAGGUUAUGGAUGCUGGAAUGCUUCAUAGCCCAAAGCCCCGGCGCCUAAGGAUGACUCUGCGGACUAUCAGGUAGUAGUCAGGGUAACGACCUGACUAGCCUACGACGGAUACGGGGUGUGAGAGCACUAGCCCGGAGAUGGAUUCUGAGACACGAAUCCAGGCCCUACGGGGUGCAGCAGGCGCGAAACUUCCGCAAUGCUCGACAGAGUGACGGAGGGAUUCCAAGUGCCUAUGCUAUGCGUAGGCUGUUUUUAUGUCUAAAUAACAUGGAGAGUAAGAGCUGGGUAAGACGGGUGCCAGCCGCCGCGGUAAUACCUGCAGCUCGAGUGGUAACCGCUAUUAUUGGCCUAAAGCGUCCGUACCCGGUUUGGUAAAUAUCUGGGUAAAUCGUGAGGCUUACUUCACGAAUUUCGGAUAGACUGCCAGACUUGGGAUCGGGGGAGG
This 599-nucleotide ribosomal RNA is filed under the name uncultured archaeon. RNAcentral's name for it is "bacterial SSU rRNA". It matches the Rfam family "Archaeal small subunit ribosomal RNA", at positions 1 to 608 of the family's 1478-position model. The record is from RNAcentral.